AGCCUUUUAGGUAGUAUAAUAAUUAUCCAUCCCUGUAAAAAGGAAGGGCUGAUUGAUUGGGCGGUAAAAAGGAAACACAAUUAACGUGAGAUUAUAUAUCUUGCUAGUACUCCUUCACGACUCAACAACUCAAUCCAGCCCAAUCCGCCCCCCUCCGAUUCCCAGCGGAGCGCAUGGCCACGGCGCGUCCCGGUGCCCCUCCGCCUCCCUGCCCCGAUGAACCAGCCGUGGGCGACGGCCCAAGCAGCAACAGUGGCCGUCGCUGGAGGGCUUCCUCCACGGCGUCCGCAAGGGGUAGUAAAUGGUGGUCGCUUUCCUGGCCGCUGGCGACCUCCUGGAGAACCUCCCCGAGCUGCUGUUGCCGGAGACAACUCCGUUCCCGCUGCCGUCAGCCACCUGCUCAACCUGUCGUUACCCGCAUGAUGUGCAAUGGCCGUGGCGUUUCUUUUGUGCUGGCUGGUGAAUGCAUCCAAGUGUCGAUGGUUCUGUUUAUAUUUUCCUCAUGUGUUCUUUAUUAGUUAACAAGAAUCAAUAGCACCACAUAAAGCUAAACUAAAGCUUCAGUUUCACAUUUUUAUUUUACUUGUUGACCUCUUAUGAUAUUUUUUUUGUUGUAUCUUCCUCUCAAUAAAUACUGAUCUUUUCGCUCUCAUGUGAAGAAAAGAUGGACAACAAACUCAAGAGGAGGUAUAGAAGAGGGAUCUCAAGGAUGAACUUGAACAGCGUCAAUGCGAGCAGUUCUCAUCCAAGGAUAAGUCAUAUGUUGUAGAGAAGAUCCGGCGAAAAAGUUCACGCCUGCUCUUAGAAGAUGACUCUGAUGUGGAGCCCAUAAGUGAUGAUGAAAGCGAUGACUGUGAUGACGAUGAUGAAACUGAGGCUCUAAUCGCAGAGCUAAAAAGGAUUGAGAAAGAAAGAGUUGAGGAUAUGCUUAGAAAGGACUGCUAGCAAGCAUAAGAAGAGGCUAAGAUUAAGGAGGCUGAGCUGAUUCGAGGAAACCAGUUUAUCAAUAUGAAUAACUCCUGAUCCUUCAAUGUGAAGAGAAGAACUAGGCUCGACACCAUCAGGAUUGAUUUCCACUGCAAGUUUCUGCAUAGGGUUCAUUUAUAGGUGAUUUGGAAUCUAGGUGGUGGUUGGCCACCUUCUGGUCAGCCGACGUGUUCACCCUGUGGAUUCAAAUUGAAGACCAAAACAAAAAGAGUUACAUGAGUAGAACUGAACUGAAGAUCUCAUUGUCAGGAGAGGUCGAGGACAGAAGCGAUGCAACAAAUUUGGAAAUUCUUUCAGAGCAAGUAGGCAGUUACCUGGAAAUUCAAUUCGAUUAAGUGGAUUGGACUAUUGAAAUAUUGUAGUCUUUCUAGAUAGCAAUUUCAACCAUUUGGCCAUGGUGUAAAUGAAUUCUGUUGGAACAUUGUGUAGGCAAUGAAGGCAGGGCGACCGGUGGAGCUUAAGAACGCAAAGGUGGACAUGUAAAUGCGCCUGGUGGCUGGGCAUGGUCAAGAGCCUGUUGUCAGAGCUUAGGUGACGGAGGCUACAUCUUGUCACUGAUGGAGUUGGAGCCGGGGACCAUGGCAAGGUGAGAAGAGGGUCUGCAUAGGAAGGAGGUGAUGCUUUUUCAUCUUGGCUCUGUGUUGGUGUUGUUGCUGGAUGAGUUGUCGUUAUUCUUGUAUAGACCUCGGUGGUGUUGCUUGUAAUCAGAACUAGCGCAUCAGCUCCGUGGUGAGGUGGUGGUUUUACUGUAUACUUGGCUUAGCGACACUUUGUUCUCUUUUUUGUACUGAUAUCUAAUGCAAAGUGUAUGCUAUUAGGAAUCA
Molecule: long non-coding RNA, 1811 nt
Organism: Lolium perenne
Lineage: Eukaryota; Viridiplantae; Streptophyta; Magnoliopsida; Poales; Poaceae
Source: RefSeq, a predicted model, not a curated record